This is a long non-coding RNA of Rosa rugosa (rugosa rose), 431 nucleotides long. RefSeq lists it as uncharacterized. NCBI's taxonomy places the organism in Eukaryota, Viridiplantae, Streptophyta, Magnoliopsida, Rosales, Rosaceae. The transcript is spliced from 3 exons. The record is from RefSeq and is a predicted model, not a curated record.
CUUCUUUACGUUUUUGUGACAGAGGAGUUUUGUGUUCGUGAAGUUUGCCCGGAAGCGCCUGCCGUCGUCUGUGUCUACUAAUGUUCCGAAUUCUCCUGCGUUUCGCGGUUGUGGUUGGAUCCUUCCUUUGCUCAAACAGAGGGACAUUGAUUUUGAGUUGCGUGGCUGAGGUCAUAAUGAUUAUGAUGGUUGCUAUGGUGAUUCGUUUUACCUUCGGACGCGAGAGUCAAGGAAAUCAUGGCUGAAGUUGAAGUCUUGUGGUUGCAUCUUUAGGUGUUGGAAGCUAAUUUUGUUACUCUGAUUUUAUUAGACUUAUGUUUCAUGGUAAGCUCAAAAGGAGCGUUUACUUAUUAUUUUGUUAAUGCAACUUAAUUCGUAAACUCUGUGUAAUGUAAUAUAUAACUCUAAAGAAAAAGUCUGUAUUGACAUUG